AAGAUGGCGACCGGCGCACGGGUGAGUAACACGUAUCCAACCUGCCGAUAACUCCGGAAUAGCCUUUCGAAAGAAAGAUUAAUACCGGAUGGCAUACGAAUAUCGCAUGAUAUUUUUUAUUUAAAGAAUUUCGGUUAUCGAUGGGGAUGCGUUCCAUUAGUUUGUUGGCGGGGUAACGGGCCCACCAAGACUACGAUGGAUAGGGGUUCUGAGAGGAAGGUCCCCCACAUUGGAACUGAGGCACGGUCCAAACUCCUACGGGAGGCAGCAUG
RNAcentral lists this ribosomal RNA (272 nucleotides) under uncultured bacterium. Its description in RNAcentral is "partial 16S ribosomal RNA". It matches the Rfam family "Bacterial small subunit ribosomal RNA", at positions 85 to 353 of the family's 1533-position model. The record is from RNAcentral.